RNAcentral lists this ribosomal RNA (497 nucleotides) under uncultured bacterium. RNAcentral describes it as "partial 16S ribosomal RNA". It matches the Rfam family "Bacterial small subunit ribosomal RNA", at positions 28 to 507 of the family's 1533-position model. The record is from RNAcentral.
GACGAACGCUGGCGGCGUGCCUAAUACAUGCAAGUAGAACGCUGAAGAGAGGAGCUUGCUCUUCUUGGAUGAGUUGCGAACGGGUGAGUAACGCGUAGGUAACCUGCCUGGUAGCGGGGGAUAACUAUUGGAAACGAUAGCUAAUACCGCAUAAAAUGGAUUAUCGCAUGAUAAUCCAUUGAAAGGUGCAAAUGCAUCACUACCAGAUGGACCUGCGUUGUAUUAGCUAGUUGGUGGGGUAACGGCUCACCAAGGCGACGAUACAUAGCCGACCUGAGAGUGUGAUCGGCCACACUGGGACUGAGACACGGCCCAGACUCCUACGGGAGGCAGCAGUAGGGAAUCUUCGGCAAUGGACGGAAGUCUGACCGAGCAACGCCGCGUGAGUGAAGAAGGUUUUCGGAUCGUAAAGCUCUGUUGUAAGAGAAGAACGAGUGUGAGAGUGGAAAGUUCACACUGUGACGGUAUCUUACCAGAAAGGGACGGCUAACUACGUG